Desulfovibrio litoralis DSM 11393 is the source of this 1156-nucleotide non-coding RNA. Lineage: Bacteria; Pseudomonadati; Thermodesulfobacteriota; Desulfovibrionia; Desulfovibrionales; Desulfovibrionaceae. The record is from Rfam.
GAAUAAGUUUUUUAAGAGCAACAGGUGGAUGCCUGGGCGUUAGAAGGCGAAGAAAGACGUGAUAGGCUGCGAUAAGCCUGGGGUAGGCGCCAAAUAUCCUGCGACCCCGGGAUUUCUGAAUGGGGAAACCCACUAGAGUUAAGCUCUAGUAUCAGACACUGAAUACAUAGGUGUCAUGAAGCUAACCGAGGGAAGUGAAACAUCUCAGUACCUCGAGGAAAGGAAAUCAAACGAGACUCCCAAAGUAGCGGCGAGCGAAAUGGGAAUAGCCCAAACCAUAUAGUUUCGACUAUAUGGGGUUGUAGGGUCACUAUAAUAGAUCCAUGAUUAGACAGGGGAAGAGUCUGGAAAGGCUCGGCGCAGAGGGUGAAACCCCCGUACCUGAAAUCGAAAGUGGCUAGAGUGAUACCUGAGUACCGCGAGACACGUGAAAUCUCGUGGGAAUCUGGGAGGACCAUCUUCCAAGGCUAAGUACUACCUAACGACCGAUAGCGAACCAGUACCGUGAGGGAAAGGUGAAAAGAACCCUAGUAAAGGGAGUGAAAAGAACCUGAAACCUGUUGCUUACAAGCUGUGGGAGUUCUGCAAUAUGAAUGACCACGUGCCUUUUGCAUAAUGAGUCAGCGAGUUACUCUGUACAGCAAGGUUAAGCGAAAGUGUAGCCGAAGCGAAAGCAAGUCUGAAUAGGGCGAAUAGUUGUGCGGAGUAGACCCGAAACCGGGUGAUCUAUCCAUGAGCAGGUUGAAGCAAAGGUAAAACUUUGUGGAGGACCGAACCCUUAACGGCUGAAAACGUUUGGGAUGACUUGUGGAUAGGGGUGAAAGGCUAAUCAAACUCGGUGAUAGCUGGUUCUCCCCGAAAUAUAUUGAGGUAUAGCCUCGGAAUAGUUUGACGGAGGUAUAGCACUGAAAGGGCUAGGGGUCUUACCAGAUUACCAAACCCUAUCAAACUCAGAAUACCGUCUAAACGUUUUCCGGGAGUCAGACUGUGGGUGCGAAGAUCCAUAGUCAAAAGGGAAACAGCCCAGAUCGACAGCUAAGGUCUCCAAGUCCAUGCUCAGUGUAUAAGGUAGUGGGGGCGCAUAGACAGCCAGGAAGUUGGCUUAGAAGCAGCCAUCUUUUAAAGAAAGCGUAAUAGCUCACUGGUCUAGUGCCCC